AUCCUGGCUCAGGGACGAACGCUGGCGGCGUGCCUAAUACAUGCAAGUCGAGCGGACAGAUGGGAGCUUGCUCCCUGAUGUUAGCGGCGGACGGGUGAGUAACACGUGGGUAACCUGCCUGUAAGACUGGGAUAACUCCGGGAAACCGGGGCUAAUACCGGAUGGUUGUUUGAACCGCAUGGUUCAAACAUAAAAGGUGGCUUCGGCUACCACUUACAGAUGGACCCGCGGCGCAUUAGCUAGUUGGUGAGGUAACGGCUCACCAAGGCAACGAUGCGUAGCCGACCUGAGAGGGUGAUCGGCCACACUGGGACUGAGACACGGCCCAGACUCCUACGGGAGGCAGCAGUAGGGAAUCUUCCGCAAUGGACGAAAGUCUGACGGAGCAACGCCGCGUGAGUGAUGAAGGUUUUCGGAUCGUAAAGCUCUGUUGUUAGGGAAGAACAAGUACCGUUCGAAUAGGGCGGUACCUUGACG
This 477-nucleotide ribosomal RNA is filed under the name Bacillus subtilis. Its description in RNAcentral is "bacterial SSU rRNA". It matches the Rfam family "Bacterial small subunit ribosomal RNA", at positions 16 to 484 of the family's 1533-position model. The record is from RNAcentral. Lineage: Bacteria; Bacillati; Bacillota; Bacilli; Caryophanales; Bacillaceae.